GCUGGGCACUGUGGAGCAUGCCUGUAAUCCCAGUGGCUUGGGAGGCUGAGACAGGAAAAUCACGAGUUCAAAGUCAGCCUCUGCAAUAGUGAGGUGCUAAGCACUCAGUAAGACCCUGUCUCUA
RNAcentral lists this small RNA (124 nucleotides) under Marmota monax (woodchuck). The record is from RNAcentral. Lineage: Eukaryota; Metazoa; Chordata; Mammalia; Rodentia; Sciuridae.